Molecule: non-coding RNA, 141 nt
Filed under: Vibrio azureus
Lineage: Bacteria; Pseudomonadati; Pseudomonadota; Gammaproteobacteria; Vibrionales; Vibrionaceae
Also listed under: 1 other name
Description: FMN sequence
Rfam family: FMN riboswitch aptamer (RFN element)
About the family: The RFN element is a highly conserved domain that is found frequently in the 5'-untranslated regions of prokaryotic mRNAs that encode for flavin mononucleotide (FMN) biosynthesis and transport proteins. This element is a metabolite-dependent riboswitch that directly binds FMN in the absence of proteins. In Bacillus subtilis, the riboswitch most likely controls gene expression by causing premature transcription termination within the 5' untranslated region of the ribDEAHT operon and precluding access to the ribosome-binding site of ypaA mRNA.
Source: RNAcentral
AAAUGUUCUCAGGGCGGGGCGAAACUCCCCACCGGCGGUAUACUCUUUUUGAGUCAGCCCGCGAGCGCUCGAUUUUCGAGGUCAGCAGAUCUGGUGAGAAGCCAGAGCCGACGGUUACAGUCCGGAUGAAAGAGAAUAAGA